This 440-nucleotide ribosomal RNA is filed under the name uncultured bacterium. Its description in RNAcentral is "bacterial SSU rRNA". It matches the Rfam family "Bacterial small subunit ribosomal RNA", at positions 339 to 793 of the family's 1533-position model. The record is from RNAcentral.
AUACGGGAGGCAGCAGUGAAGAAUAUUGGGCAAUGGGCGAAAGCCUGACCCAGCAACGCCGCGUGAGGGAAGAAGGUUCUCGGAUUGUAAACCUCUGUCCCAUGGGACGAACACAAUGACGGUACCAUGGGAGGAAGCCCCGGCUAACUACGUGCCAGCAGCCGCGGUAAUACGUAGGGGGCAAGCGUUGUCCGGAAUUAUUGGGCGUAAAGGGUGCGUAGGCGGCCUUUCAAGUCGGAUGUGAAAUCCCCGUGCUUAACAUGGGAAUUGCAUUCGAAACUGGAGGGCUUGAGUGUGGAAGAGGUAAGUGGAAUUCCCAGUGUAGCGGUGAAAUGCGUAGAUAUUGGGAGGAACACCAGUGGCGAAGGCGACUUACUGGGCCACAACUGACGCUGAUGCACGAAAGCGUGGGGAGCAAACAGGAUUAGAUACCCCCGUAC